This is a long non-coding RNA of Xenopus laevis (African clawed frog), 1155 nucleotides long. RefSeq lists it as uncharacterized. The transcript has 2 exons. The record is from RefSeq and is a predicted model, not a curated record. NCBI's taxonomy places the organism in Eukaryota, Metazoa, Chordata, Amphibia, Anura, Pipidae.
AUGAGACUGAUGGCAGGUCAGAGUGCACCUGUAUGUCCUGUCGGCUCAAGACUGUCUCCUCCUCCUCCUCUCAGAAAAGGUCCUGUGGUGAAACAGCAACGGAAAUCUCUUGCUUCUAUUCCUUAUCUGGCUUAUUCCAAGCUCCUUUCGUGUCUUCGGGUCUACAGCUUCGGCUCCUUUCUUGAAUUUGGGUCUUGGCAGCUUCAGGAUUACAACUUCAGGUCUUUUCGCGGCAUUGGGUCUUCUGCGCUGCGGGUCUUCAGCUCUUUCGGGACUUUGGCACUUCAGCUCUUUUGGGACUUCAAUGGCGCAUCACUUUGGCGCUGUUAAGGGCAGCCCAGCUAAUUCGAAAGUGCAGCACAGCCAGGCCCCCCCUUUAGGCCUGGCCCAGUACAACUGUACCCCUGUGCCCCCCUGAUGGAGGCCCUGACUACACAACAUGGGGCCCUUCAGGGCCACAAGCCAUACUCAGUGACCCAUUGAGAAUUGUUUCUUAAUAGAUUUUUAGUUUCAAGCAGGCACCUGACUCCUGAGCAUAUGAGAGAACCUGGCAACUGACACCUUUCUUUGUCUAAAGUCUUCAGGUGUAGGUGAGCCAGGCAAAGCAGAAGUAAGCAACUAAAACUCAUAAUUGAAUUGUGUUUUUAGGCAAGGUUUUGUUGUUUGGUUCUAAAGACAAAUACAGCCGAAGGCACAGACCUGGCCUUAGUAAAAGACACUAUUGGGGAAAAGUGGAUGUUAGUACAUGAGUAUAUUUAGCAAAACAUCUUGUUCUAAAGCCGAAUGACUUUAUUAGUGUUGGCAGCACACCUUUCUAAGGCAUGCAUAUAAACCAUAGUGAUGACCAAUCAGAGUGCAGUACCAACAAAGGGAUAGGCCCAUAGCAUUUAAAGUGGUUGUCAACCUUCAAAUUAAAUUUAAGUAUGAUGUAGACAAUUAUAUUCCAAGACUAUUUUCAGUUAGUCUUUAUUUUUUGUGGGUUUUGAUAUUUAGCUUUUUGUUUAGCAGCUUUCCAAUUUGGAAUUUUAGCAGUUACCUUGUUGCUAGGGUCCACUUUAUCCUAGCAACCAGGCAUUGGUUUUAAUGAGAGGCUGAAUGAUGAAUUGGAAAGGGACCUGACUAGAAAGAUAACUAAUAAAAGUAGCAAUAACUGUA